Molecule: ribosomal RNA, 251 nt
Filed under: uncultured bacterium
Lineage: Bacteria
Description: partial 16S ribosomal RNA
Rfam family: Bacterial small subunit ribosomal RNA
Source: RNAcentral
UACGGAGGGUGCAAGCGUUAAUCGGAAUUACUGGGCGUAAAGCGCGCGUAGGCGGUUUGAUAAGUCGAUUGUGAAAUCCCGGGCUCAACCUGGGAAUUGCAGUCGAGACUGUCAGACUAGAGUGUGGGAGAGGGUGGUGGAAUUCUCGGUGUAGAGGUGAAAUGCGUAGAUAUUGACAGGAACACCAGUGGCGUAAGCGGCUAUCUGGACGAGUAUUGACACUGAGGCACGAAAGCGUGGGAUCAAACAGG